Perca flavescens (yellow perch) is the source of this 964-nucleotide long non-coding RNA. RefSeq lists it as uncharacterized. The transcript has 3 exons. The record is from RefSeq and is a predicted model, not a curated record. NCBI's taxonomy places the organism in Eukaryota, Metazoa, Chordata, Actinopteri, Perciformes, Percidae.
AUCAUCAACACCAUAAAUACACAGGAAAUGCUCGGUGGCUCCUCCCCAAACAUUCCUAAAUGGUGGACCAAAUAAAAGGAACAACCAAAAGUGCCUAACGGUUAUGACAUCACAUUAAUCUGAGCGCUGACCCCAGCAAGAAAGACAUCUGAAAGACAAAGUGCUGCUAGGACGAAGACCUUAAAAUCAGACCACAAGAAAGGAGAAAAGCACCGUCUGUCUGCUGGCCACUCCUCUGUUCUGUUGGCUUACCUUGUGUGAUCUGUUCCCUGGCGGCGUCGAGGUGAUGGCUGGUGGAAAUCUCUCCGAUUACAAUCAGCAUGCGAUAGUUUCUGUGCUGGAACGCAGCUCCGGCGCGGCGCUGCUGUCCAUGAUGCUGAAAACACUCCUCCGAUUGUGCUCGCUCCACUGAGGCAGCUGCUGCGAUGGGGAUUUCCAUGGUAACGGUGCCACUGGUGGACGCUAAGCCCUUUUCCAUCUCCAUGACAACUGCAUCCGGAGCAAGCAUCAUGACAGUGCAGGAUGAGCUGGGAGGAUUAUUAGUGGGUGUGGCUCUUUGGACGGUGGACGUGUGAUUGGAUGGCAGGUUAUGUGGCUAUUUGACGUCACAGCAUAUCAUUGGACAAAAGGAAAAGAGGGACAUGAGAAUUUAUGUUGAUCAUAUUUCUUUUAUGACACUGCUGAAGCCUACUGUCACUGUAGCUGAAGAGCAGGAAGACAGUGGAGAUGACCAUAUCAUCUACCUCUGCUCAUGAUGUUAUAGCCAACCAUACCACACCAUCCUUUCUGCGUCCUUCAUAAACAAAACCUUAUAUCCCAUUGUUUUAUGUCACUGGUUUUACAUUAUAAGUCUGAGGUGCAGCACGCGAGCCAUUUUUGGCAGCACCUAAGUUGAUUGAAUGUGAAAUGCGGCACAAAUGUGCCCAAACCAGCGAAAAAAGCACCAAAAACAGCGAAAUAAAAA